GAGUUUGAUCUUGGCUCAGAUUGAACGCUGGCGGCAUGCCUUACACAUGCAAGUCGAACGGCAGCACGGGAGCUUGCUCCUGGUGGCGAGUGGCGAACGGGUGAGUAAUGCAUCGGAACGUGUCCUGGAGUGGGGGAUAACGUAGCGAAAGUUACGCUAAUACCGCAUAUUCUGUGAGCAGGAAAGCGGGGGACCUUCGGGCCUCGCGCUCUUGGAGCGGCCGAUGUCGGAUUAGCUAGUUGGUGAGGUAAAGGCUCACCAAGGCGACGAUCCGUAGCAGGUCUGAGAGGAUGAUCUGCCACACUGGAACUGAGACACGGUCCAGACUCCUACGGGAGGCAGCAGUGGGAAUUUUGGACAAUGGGGGCAACCCUGGUCCAGCCAUGCCGCGUGAGUGAAGAAGGCCUUCGG
Molecule: ribosomal RNA, 411 nt
Filed under: bacterium enrichment culture clone ALO1_GLFRUDD03GPXN0
Lineage: Bacteria
Description: bacterial SSU rRNA
Rfam family: Bacterial small subunit ribosomal RNA
Source: RNAcentral